GGUCUCAUGGAGUAAUGGUUAUCACUCUGGACACGGAUUCCAGCUAUCCGAGUUCAAAUCUCGGUGAGACCU
Non-coding RNA from Ixodes scapularis (black-legged tick), 72 nucleotides. Lineage: Eukaryota; Metazoa; Arthropoda; Arachnida; Ixodida; Ixodidae. The record is from Rfam.